CGAGUUGGCCGGGCAGUCGCUGCGUUCGCAAGAACGGGGAGGAAAGUCCGGGCUCCAUAGAGCAGGGUGCCAGAUAACGUCUGGGCAGCGUGAGCUGACGACCAGUGCAACAGAGAGUAGACCGCCUGCCUUCGGGCCGGUAAGGGUGAAAGGGUGCGGUAAGAGCGCACCGCGCGGCUGGCAACAGUUCGUGGCACGGUAAACUCCACCCGGAGCAAGAUCAAAUAGGGUUCCUUAUGGCGUGGCUCGCGUUGGAACCGGGUAGAUUGCUUGAGCCUACGAGCGAUUGUAGGCCUAGAGGAAUGGCUGCCGCUCCUUCGGGAGAACAGGACCCGGCUUAUAGGCCAACUCACCUA
This is a non-coding RNA of Shewanella sp., 356 nucleotides long. It matches the Rfam family "Bacterial RNase P class A". From Rfam's summary of the family: Ribonuclease P (RNase P) is a ubiquitous endoribonuclease, found in archaea, bacteria and eukarya as well as chloroplasts and mitochondria. The record is from Rfam. NCBI's taxonomy places the organism in Bacteria, Pseudomonadati, Pseudomonadota, Gammaproteobacteria, Alteromonadales, Shewanellaceae.